GACAAGCCCAAGCAAAAGACUCUUGUUGUGAAAACAACGGCGGUGUAAGCGGCAGAUUGGACCGGCGUAAGCCCUCCAGUUGCCACGUACUCGGCUCAGAAUGAUGAUUGACCUACAAAUUCUUAUCUACAUUAUCUGAACAAACAUUGAAGAAGAACGUUUCUGACUGAAGACUCUGGCUGGCUACUUUUAGACAGCGACACUAUUUAUACAAGCACGCAAUCAAUCUGUUGACUCUAGCCCUUAAAUAGAUCCAUACUAGACACCGAGCUAGCCGUCUGACUACAAAGAGAACAAGGCGGUGAUCCCGGAGUCAGUAUUCAAUG
Molecule: unclassified non-coding RNA, 326 nt
Filed under: Yarrowia lipolytica
Lineage: Eukaryota; Fungi; Ascomycota; Dipodascomycetes; Dipodascales
Source: RNAcentral